AGCAGCCGCGGUAAUUCCAGCUCCAAUAGCGUAUAUUAAAGUUGUUGCAGUUAAAAAGCUCGUAGUUGAAUUUCGGGGUUAGUAGGUUGGUCAUGCCUCCGGUAUGUACUGGUCUCACUGAUUCCUCCUUCCUGAUGAACCGUAGUGCCAUUAAUUUGGUGUUGCGGGGAGACUGGACUGUUACUUUGAAAAAAUUAGAGUGUUUAAAGCAGGCUAACGCUUGAAUACAUUAGCAUGGAAUAAUGAAAUAGGACGUUCGGUCUUAUUUUGUUGGUUUCUAAGAUUUGACGUAAUGAUUAAUAGGGAUAGUUGGGGGCAUUAGUAUUCAAUUGUCAGAGGUGAAAUUCUUGGAUUUAUUGAAGACUAACUACUGCGAAAGCAUUUGCCAAGGAUGUUUUCAUUAAUCAAGACGAAAGUUAGGGGAUCGAAGACGAUCAGAUACCGUCGUAGUCUUAACCAUUAACUAUGCCGACUAGGGAUCGGAUGAUGUUAAUUUUUAAUGUACUCAUUCGGCGCCUUG
This 520-nucleotide ribosomal RNA is filed under the name uncultured Glomus. RNAcentral describes it as "SSU rRNA". It matches the Rfam family "Eukaryotic small subunit ribosomal RNA", at positions 569 to 1090 of the family's 1831-position model. Lineage: Eukaryota; Fungi; Glomeromycota; Glomeromycetes; Glomerales; Glomeraceae. The record is from RNAcentral.